CAUAGGUUUGGUCCCAGCCUUCCUGUUAACUCUUAAUAAACUUACACAUGCAAGCAUCUACACCCCAGUGAGAAUGCCCUCUAGGUUAUUAAAACUAAGAGGAGCUGGCAUCAAGCACACACCCUGUAGCUCACGACGCCUUGCUUAACCACACCCCCACGGGAAACAGCAGUGACAAAAAUUAAGCCAUAAACGAAAGUUUGACUAAGUUAUAUUAAUUAGGGUUGGUAAAUCUCGUGCCAGCCACCGCGGUCAUACGAUUAACCCAAGCUAACAGGAGUACGGCGUAAAACGUGUUAAAGCACCAUACCAAAUAGGGUUAAAUUCUAACUAAGCUGUAAAAAGCCAUGAUUAAAAUAAAAAUAAAUGACGAAAGUGACCCUACAAUAGCCGACGCACUAUAGCUAAGACCCAAACUGGGAUUAGAUACCCCACUAUGCUUAGCCCUAAACACAGAUAAUUACAUAAACAAAAUUAUUCGCCAGAGUACUACUAGCAACAGCUUAAAACUCAAAGGACUUGGCGGUGCUUUAUAUCCUUCUAGAGGAGCCUGUUCUUUCAAUCACUAGU
Molecule: ribosomal RNA, 570 nt
Filed under: Bos taurus (domestic cattle)
Lineage: Eukaryota; Metazoa; Chordata; Mammalia; Artiodactyla; Bovidae
Description: partial 12S ribosomal RNA
Rfam family: Bacterial small subunit ribosomal RNA
Source: RNAcentral